UUGCGAGAACGUCCAAGCACGCGGCCGCCUCAAGGGCGGCCUCUUUGUUAAAAUCCUCUGCAACUCGCUUCGCCCCUUUGCGAGUUCUGGCAUAGCCUCUGCCUCCCUCGAACGAGGUAGACACGUUCUGAAAAAUUUUUCGUGCAGCGAAAACCGGAACCCGCUAGGCUUGCCCGAUCACCGUCCCGUCCGUGGCAUCACCGGUGANGAGUGUUGUGCUCCCGCCAGGUCUCUGCGGAGCGACCUAUGACCUCCUCCGAUCCUUCUGUUUGUCCCGG
RNAcentral lists this unclassified non-coding RNA (278 nucleotides) under Hevea brasiliensis (rubber tree). The record is from RNAcentral. Lineage: Eukaryota; Viridiplantae; Streptophyta; Magnoliopsida; Malpighiales; Euphorbiaceae.